RNAcentral lists this long non-coding RNA (710 nucleotides) under Rattus norvegicus (Norway rat). RNAcentral's name for it is "long non-coding RNA NONRATT003498". Lineage: Eukaryota; Metazoa; Chordata; Mammalia; Rodentia; Muridae. The record is from RNAcentral.
GGAUGUGCUGCCCUUCUCCGAUUCUUGGCUUGGAUCAAGGCUGGAGAAAAAGACUGAGACAGGUGGGCAGAAAGAUGCCUAGAGAAGCUGAACAGGGAAUUUGGUUUCCAAGGCAACCGAGAGCUAGUCUUCAACUCCUCUGAGGAUCAUUCUUUGUCCUGCUAAUAGCCAGGAGUGGGCUUCCCAGGAAAAUGAUUCCGUCUGAUUUCCUUUCUUCUGCCCAGUGCUUGCCUCUCAGCCAUGAUGACUUGGCCAGUCUGCCUCAGAAGAUAAGGUCCCUUGUUCUUGGACUUCCAGCAUCCUGAACUACAAAGCAAACAACUUCUGUUCUUUAAAACUUACCCGCUGUGGCUUUGUGUUACAGCUACAAGAAGACAGUAUCUUUUUUUGCUUUUUAAGAGUUCUUUUUGCUUAUACAUAUGUAUGUGGGUGUCUGGGGCUAGAAGAGGCUAUUGGAUCUCUUGGAAUUGGGGCUAGCAAUGUGCGUGCUGGGUAGGAACCAAACUUGGAUCCUCUGGAAGGGCAGCAAGCACUCUUACCCUCUGAGUCGCCACUCCUCAGAGCACCUCCAGGCCUGCCUGUGAAAUUACAGAGCCUGGGGUUCUGAUGUGCCUGUGCCACAGGGACAAAGCCUGAGUCUGACCCCCAGGAAGAAAGUGCACAUUCAUGGUAUGCAUGUCUUGGAGCCCGUAGGCGACUCUCCUGUGUCC